CUUGGUCAUUUAGAGGAAGUAAAAGUCAUAACAAGGUUUCCGUAGGUGAACCUGCGGAAGGAUCAUUAAUAGUGCCCAUUGAUGCAAAUCAUUGGGUUAGAUCUGCCCUUAUCGCAAGAUGAGGGCUUCCAUAUACACCGUGAACUGUGGCUUCGGCCAUCACAAACUGUUAGUAAUGAAUGUAAUAUCAUAACAAAAACAAAACUUUUAACAACGGAUCUCUUGGCUCUCGCAUCGAUGAAGAACGCAGCGAAAUGCGAUAAGUAAUGUGAAUUGCAGAAUUCAGUGAAUCAUCGAAUCUUUGAACGCACCUUGCGCCCUUUGGUAUUCCGAAGGGCAUGCCUGUUUGAGUGUCAUGAAACCUCACCCCACUUAGGUUUUUGCCUAAGCGGUGGUGUAUUGGGUGUUUGCCUUGCUAAAGGCUCGCCUUAAAGAUAUAAGCACCUUGGAUGUAAUACGUUUCAUCCUUCUGGGUGGCUGAUAACCCCACAUACUCAUGAUCUGGCCUCAAAUCAGGUAGGGCUACCCGCUGAACUUAAGCAUAUCAAUAAGCGGAGGAAAAGAAACUAACUAGGAUUCCCUUAGUAACGGCGAGUGAACCGGGAUGAGCUCAAAUUUAAAAUCUGGCGUCUUUCAGGCGUCCGAGUUGUAAUCUAUAGAGGCGUUUUCCGCGCCGGACCGCGUCCAAGUCUCUUGGAAUAGAGUAUCAAAGAGGGUGACAAUCCCGUACUUGACGCGACAACCGGUGCUCUGUGAUACGUUCUCAAUGAGUCGAGUUGUUUGGGAAU
This 788-nucleotide small RNA is filed under the name uncultured Cryptococcus. RNAcentral describes it as "eukaryotic LSU rRNA". The stretch from base 503 to 788 matches the Rfam family "Eukaryotic large subunit ribosomal RNA", at positions 1 to 281 of the family's 3401-position model. Lineage: Eukaryota; Fungi; Basidiomycota; Tremellomycetes. The record is from RNAcentral.